AGAAUCAACGCUGGCGGCGUGCCUAACACAUGCAAGUCGAACGCGGUUACCUCGCAAGGGGUAACUGAGUGGCGAACGGGUGAGUAACACGUGGGUGACCUACCUUCGAAUGGGGGAUAACGUCCCGAAAGGGACGCUAAUACCGCAUAACAUCCUGCUCUUGAAUGGGUGGAGAUCAAAGCCGGGGAUCGCAAGACCUGGCGUUUGGAGAGGGACCCGCGUCCGAUUAGCUAGUUGGUGAGGUAACGGCCCACCAAGGCGACGAUCGGUA
This 271-nucleotide ribosomal RNA is filed under the name uncultured bacterium. RNAcentral's name for it is "partial small subunit ribosomal RNA". It matches the Rfam family "Bacterial small subunit ribosomal RNA", at positions 26 to 285 of the family's 1533-position model. The record is from RNAcentral.